AUUGAACGCUGGCGGCAGGCCUAACACAUGCAAGUCGAACGGUAACAGGAAACAGCUUGCUGUUUCGCUGACGAGUGGCGGACGGGUGAGUAAUGUCUGGGAAACUGCCUGAUGGAGGGGGAUAACUACUGGAAACGGUAGCUAAUACCGCAUAACGUCGCAAGACCAAAGAGGGGGACCUUCGGGCCUCUUGCCAUCGGAUGUGCCCAGAUGGGAUUAGCUAGUAGGUGGGGUAACGGCUCACCUAGGCGACGAUCCCUAGCUGGUCUGAGAGGAUGACCGGCCACACUGGAACAGAGACACGGUCCAGACUCCUACGGGAGGCAGCAGUGGGGAAUAUUGCACACUGGGCGCAAGCCUGAUGCAGCCAUGCCGCGUGUAUGAAGAAGGCCUUCGGGUUGUAAAGAACUUUCAGCGGGGAGGAAGGGAGUAAAGUUAAUACCUUUGCUCAUUGACGUUACCCGCAGAAGAAGCACCGGCUAACUCCGUGCCAGCAGCCGCCGUAA
RNAcentral lists this ribosomal RNA (506 nucleotides) under uncultured bacterium. RNAcentral's name for it is "partial 16S ribosomal RNA". It matches the Rfam family "Bacterial small subunit ribosomal RNA", at positions 30 to 523 of the family's 1533-position model. The record is from RNAcentral.